AAUGCUACGUCUCAAUUUAUUCUGAAAGGAAGGAUGAAGGAUGUCAUCAUUUGCUGCUGCGGGAGAAAACUGAAUGCUGCAUGGCAGAACAAAGCAAUCCUCGCCACGGAGGAGCACAGCCGCACGGAGCAGCGCGUGCCUGCUUGCAAUGGGCUUUGCUGCAAAGGAGUCAGAAAAUCCGAGAUGAAAAGGCCCAUUUGCAUUUCUAUUUGUGCCGUUUGAUGUUGGCUACCGAGUACAACUGGAACAAGCAACACUUUAAAUAAUCAAGAAAAAACUAUCUAGCAUCCUGAGCGCUUGUGGAGUUGGCCUUUGGUUUUCUGUUUUUUUGGUUUUUGUUUUUUUUUUUUGCUGUUGAUUCAUAGGCAGCUCUGUGCUUGGUAGAGAAACCGUGAUGGCAGCAUCACUAAGAGCUCAGGUGAGCAAAGCAGCUCUAACUGCCCGGAGAACAUGAGCCCAGCAGAUAAUCUGUCCGUCUGUCCGUCCUCCUCCUGGCUCUGUGCUUCUCCUCUCCCAAGGAAACACAACCCACACGGCUGAAAUCAGAGCAGCCAAGCAGCUUGAGUAAGCUGAAAGGCCAGGGAGGAAAUGUGAUUAUUGUGAAAAACAUUAACUAAAGAUGAUCGUGAGCACUUUGCUGAGUCCCACCUGAUUCACCUCUGUCCAGGACUUCCUCUGAGCCUGUGCUCAGCAGCACGAUUCGCACCCAGCUGGGAAACACAAGCACCGUGUGACGGAAGGGGUGACUUAAUGACUUUUGCAUACCAUUAUUUUUUCCUGAGUUAAUUAAAAGUAGAAGUGCUCAUAUCAAGCACAGUGCUUCUGUGAGCACCAUGUGCUCUUCAGCAACAUGCGGACAAGCAGGACUUAGUGUAGUGGCCCAAUUUAGUGCAGAGUUACCAGCAACAUCCAUUUUUUCACCAAAACUGCAAGAUUCUUAAAUGCUUUUAGUAACUCCAGGCCGUUUUAGUGCCUUCCCAAUGCCUCCACCAAAAAGCCAAAUGGCAAAAUAGCUCUAUACCCAUUUCACUGCCCUCAGAAGCUCAGAGCCACUCUUGGUGCUGCAGAGCACGGGAGACUUUAAAGCAAUGCUGGCUCCAGGGAAGCCGUCUGGAAUUGGACCUGUUGAAUAGGAAACCUCCAUAGUUCAGCCCUGAAAACAUUCACCUUACAUGUACCAGCAUAAAAGCUAGCUUUUAAACUUCAUUACCCUUUUCUUUGCUAGGUUUUGUGCUGCCUGCUGACAUUCUCAUCCCGGUACCGGUUUGGUUUUUAAGUCCCUGAUGGGCAGGUUUAUUACAUAAGAAUACGCCUGGAGAUUUGGGAGGUUUGUGCCUUUUCUUGUAAUGCUGGGACUUCUCCCAGCAUGAAUGGAAGUGGCUCAGAGGCUGCCCUUGCCUGAGAGACCAAUUAUUUCUGUUGCAAAAUUUCAUGCAGGUACGGGGUAUUUGUGGUGCUGUGGUGAGAAAUCAAAGUGAGCAAAAACACAUCAUGAGUCAUUACCUUGUAAAUGAAAAAAAUAAAAUAAAAUAAAAUAAAAUAAAAUAAAAUAAA
RNAcentral lists this long non-coding RNA (1554 nucleotides) under Anser brachyrhynchus (Pink-footed goose). RNAcentral's name for it is "lncRNA (ENSABRG00000011429.1)". Lineage: Eukaryota; Metazoa; Chordata; Aves; Anseriformes; Anatidae. The record is from RNAcentral.